Molecule: long non-coding RNA, 2998 nt
Organism: Xiphophorus hellerii (green swordtail)
Lineage: Eukaryota; Metazoa; Chordata; Actinopteri; Cyprinodontiformes; Poeciliidae
Exons: 2
Source: RefSeq, a predicted model, not a curated record
AUACAUAAAAUAUGGAGGGAGAAAAAAAAUUGAUCAAUUGAAUAAUUCUAGAAACUUUGUAGAUCAUCUCAACGUUCUUUCCAGACACUGAGAGGACUUCUUACACAAAUGCAUGAGCAGAUUGAUGUAUUUUUUAAACAUGGGACCGCACAAUUUCUGAGUAUAUAUAUCAUAACAGCUCUGCGCAUGCGUCUGACAACCUGGAGCGUGUCAUCGCCCCAGACACAUAUAACUGUUAAAGUUAACGGCAGGAGGAGGGGUGUGCUCGUACAUUUGUUUGUGCGUCCAUCAGCUGUCUUUAUCAAUGCCGUGUGCGACCCUGGAGCUAGCAGACAGCCAGGGGUUAAAGGUCAAAGCAGAGCCUGUCUGGGCUUCCUGCCUGACCCCAGUGGCUGCGAGCGCUGGCGUGCACUCGUAUGCAGAAAACUGGGUGCUUUCGGGGAGGGAGGGCUGGUUCAACCGUCUACCAGACUAAUAUCACCUUUGGGAUUAGGAUCCAGACAAAAAUAAAUUGACCCCAAACCCCUCUCUUCCCACACACACACACACACACACACGCACACGCCCACGCACACGCCAGAUUUGCCUGGUCAUAAAAUCGGACUCGACCGUGCGGCAUGACGCAGACAGACAUGGCAGAGGUGCUGAGUCUGAGAGGAACAUCUAAUUAUCUUUUAGAGCUGAGUUAGAGGGAGGAGUGGAGGAGAACAAGGAGGUUCAACGGCGCCAAUAACAUGCAAGCCAACAGCGUAAGACGGUCGUUUUAGCCAGGAUAGAGACGAAAAAAACAAAUUCUGUAAGGUGGUGAUUUCAAAAUUGGGAUCACUGUAUGAUUAAGAAGGAAAAAGAUGCAACAUAUGAUAAGUUUAUAUCUCUGUGGUAACCCAAAUUUAGAUUUUGCAGCUUAAAAUAGCCUGAAGCACAACUUCGGUGUAAAACGACAUCAGAAUGCUUGUAAAAGAGAGAGAGAGAGGGAGAGAGAAAAAAAUCCCAAAUCAAAGAGAUCUCAGCUAAAUGAAACAAGGAACAAAAGGUCAAAAUCAGAGGCUGCCAAGCCAUCGGGAAAACUCGCUAAAUAAGCCGGAGUGUUAAGCCUGCUAAUCCCCCCGUAUUAUUGCAACAUCUGUGAGGCCUAGAGGGGCUCUGUCAGCGUACGCCGAGACAGAUGUAAACAAUAUCCUGCCUGAAAACGAAGAGGGUUUGUUUAGGUAUCGAAAACCGCCAACGGUAUGCGAAAAGAAGGUUGAAGUGACGCGGCGAAUGUAAAGCAGGUGAACCGGGAGAGACGGGGGAGUGGGAAGAAGCGAUGGAAGUGAGCGAGUAACAAAAGCUUGAUGCAGAAGAGGUAGUGAGAGUGUUUUUUUUUUGUUUUUUUUUGAGUUGUUGGGAUACAGCUUGAAGGUGGUGAAAAAAAAAAACAAAAAAAAAACGGAGGUGACAGCAUCCCGGAAAGACGGCACACCUGAGGACCAGGCUGACGAGACGCCAGGGAGACGAGGAUAAUUUAUGCAGAGAGUGUCUGGCAUCCCGUGAAUAGUCCAGAGAACUGAAAGGGGGGAGCUGCUUGUGGGUGCUAGCAGUGUGAAGGAAGGAAGAGAUGGGGGGGGGGAGGGUGCUUUUUUAAACGAGGGGGCUCAAAGGCUGCUCUUUCUGCUCGAUUCAGCUGAAGCUGUCCGUCUGACGUCCCAUUAAGAUUUGGGACAGGACAUGUGGAACUAGGCAUUGAAGAGGAGCGGGAAUGGGAGUGGUGGGGGGGAUAGGCACAGAGGUGAACGAGAGGCUCUUACCACCCACUCCAGUCUACUUCUUCAUUUUGGCUAUACGUAUUAGAUCCACAGAGCUGUAUGUCUGCUAAUCUGCAUGCUAAUUUCCUUUCAUCACAAACCAGAACCUCAUAAAGGACCAGGGACGGGCUCUGGGCAGACACAAGCUACUCAGCUGAAGUCUGGCUGAAUGAGAGGUCAUAAGAGCGCUUCAACCGCCUGGCUGCACUGACUCUUCCUGAAACUCCUCCAUAAGAUGAGUCAUUUGGCAAUAAAAAAGCUGUGGAUUUGAUUCCAGACACCCUCCACCAUCACUGACCAGUCCCUUGUUUCUAUGCUGUGCUUCGUACAAACGGUCUGGACCCUUGUCUAUUGAGAAUGCUACUGGAGAAAUCCAGUUCAAUAUAAGAAAGCCCAAAGGGAGCACUGAAGGGAAAUGAGAACGCAAUGGCAAGGGUAAUGAAUAUCAUUUGCUUUAGCAAAACCAUGUCUCAUUUCUUUUACACUCCACAACUAUGCACCGUUUUGUGUUGGCCUAUCAAAUAAAAUUCCAAUAAAACUCAAUUCAAGUUUGUAUUUGUGACAAAGUACAAAGAAUGAAUACCUUUGAGUAGCACUGUACUGAAAAAUCUUUUCGUAAGAUUCCCUUUUCAUGUAAAAGAUUUCCUACACAAAUAUAUUAACAGAUGGACAUAACUGAAGCAAAAUUUCAACAGUGUGACUUCAGGACUAUGUCAGAUAACACAACAAAAAGCUUAGCCAUAGGCAGCAGUCUUGACAUGUACGAACAUCAGCAGAGGCUGGCAUCAACCUUUAAAAUCAUGGAGCAGUUUUGAUUUGAAAGUGAGGAGACAGACUGUAUGCCUCGUGCAUUUGAAUCCUGGCCAAUUGCCAGGUGAAACCGUGCACGUGCGUGCGUGUUUGCGUGCAUGCACGCGUGCGUGUAUGCGUGCAUGCAUGCGUGCGGGUGUGUGGGCCAAGCGAGAAGCGCAGCGACCAGGGUGACGUUUGAGUCCGGUGAUGCAGGCGGACAGUUUAAUGACAGUCCUCGCCCUGAAACAUUCAGACCGGUGAGCACCUGGCCCGCUCUCGGAUGUAUACGCACCAUAUGACAAGUGCAACUAUACGUGUGAUGUACGGUGUGGCGUUUUCUGCAAAAGACGAGCAGAACUGGUGAAAAUGAAACAGAAAAAAUAUCUUAAUGCUUACGGCCCUAAGCAAAAAAAAAAAAAAAA